Molecule: long non-coding RNA, 313 nt
Filed under: Oryza sativa Indica Group (long-grained rice)
Lineage: Eukaryota; Viridiplantae; Streptophyta; Magnoliopsida; Poales; Poaceae
Description: lncRNA OsMH63_06G011710
Source: RNAcentral
AUGGAUGGCAGCGACAGUACCACCGUCGCUUCACUCCCUGUAGACAUCGUCUUGGCAGCCCCUUGCCAAAACCUCCCAAGCAAUUGGUACAUGCUCGCUCUAGAUCGGUGGUCGGCUCUGGCCACGCUUAGCGGCGGCCGGUCCGGUGCUAGCCUUAUUCUAGGUCUGUGUAUUGACGUUGUCGGUGCGUGGGCGGUGGUUAAUUUUUUCGUUUUCCCGGUUACGACCUUCCAGGGUCGUAAUCAUGUAUUUUUUUUCUGCUCUAUCAGUUUGAACUUCACUGUCUUUGGUGCGAGUCGUUAAAAAAAUUCUA